UACGUAGGGGGCAAGCGUUGUCCGGAUUUAUUGGGCGUAAAGAGCGUGUAGGCGGCCAGGUAGGUCAGCUGUGAAAACUCGAGGCUCAACCUCGAGAUGUCGGCUGAAACCAUCUGGCUAGAGUCCGGAAGAGGAGAAUGGAAUUCCCGGUGUAGCGGUGAAAUGCGCAGAUAUCGGGAAGAACACCCGUGGCGAAGGCGGUUCUCUGGGACGGUACUGACGCUGAGACGCGAAAGCGUGGGGAGCGAAUAGG
This 253-nucleotide ribosomal RNA is filed under the name uncultured bacterium. RNAcentral's name for it is "partial 16S ribosomal RNA". It matches the Rfam family "Bacterial small subunit ribosomal RNA", at positions 524 to 776 of the family's 1533-position model. The record is from RNAcentral.